UCAUUCGGACUGUAGGCUGCAACUCGCCUACACGAAGCUGGAAUCGCUAGUAAUCGCGGAUCAGCACGCCGCGGUGAAUACGUUCCCGGGCCUUGUACACACCGCCCGUCACACCAUGAGAGUCUGUAACACCCAAAGCCGGUGGGAUAACCUUUAUAGGAGUCAGCCGUCUAAGGUAGGACAGAUGAUUAGGGUGAAGUCGUAACAAGGUACC
This 214-nucleotide ribosomal RNA is filed under the name uncultured bacterium. RNAcentral's name for it is "partial 16S ribosomal RNA". It matches the Rfam family "Bacterial small subunit ribosomal RNA", at positions 1288 to 1500 of the family's 1533-position model. The record is from RNAcentral.